UGAGGCAGACUGGGGCCCCUUGGGAGCAGCAGGGCUGAGGUCUAGGAGCCGUGCAGGGGGAGGGGCAGGAGGGGACAGGACUGGAAAGUGGCGCUCCACUGCUGGGCUAGGUCGGGGGCGCGUAGGCCGAGGGAGGGCGUGGAAGGCAACCCGAGGAGACUACCCGUCGGAGGGGCUCAGGCCGAGGUGCUCAGCUGAAGCAUCUGCGAGGAGGGGGUGUCCCAGGUCUCCGCUGCAUACAUCAUCCUGCUGUUCUCACCCCAAGCCCCCUUCCUCAGCAUCUGGCCACUCGAGAGUCUCCCAAGGUGUCUGUAAGCGUCCUUCAGCACCCUGCUCUCUGUUCAUUGAGUGACCUCAAGCGUGCCCUUGGUGACUCACAGUGGAGCGCAGGACAGGUCUCUCUAUGGCCUCGGUUGGUCGACUGGGGCAGUGCAGGUCCAGCAGCAACAGUCGUUCACUGUCCCAAGAGCAGCAGAAAAUGUACAGAAUGCAGAGUUGGAUUAAGAAGUGUACAGAGGGCAUCUGGACACUGAAGCCUGAAGAAUUCAGUCCAAGAUCUGGAGUUUGCUGCAGUGUCCUGUGCAAGUCCAUAUCAGGAGGCCUAUGGGUCUGUGAUGGAAGGCUGAAGUCUA
Molecule: long non-coding RNA, 632 nt
Organism: Octodon degus (degu)
Lineage: Eukaryota; Metazoa; Chordata; Mammalia; Rodentia; Octodontidae
Exons: 3
Source: RefSeq, a predicted model, not a curated record